RNAcentral lists this transfer RNA (71 nucleotides) under Marmota monax (woodchuck). Its description in RNAcentral is "tRNA.Gly". Lineage: Eukaryota; Metazoa; Chordata; Mammalia; Rodentia; Sciuridae. The record is from RNAcentral.
GGGGUUGUGGCUCAGUGGCAGAGCCCUUACCUACCAUGUGUGAGGCACUGGGUUCCAUCCUCAGCACCACA